GUACUCUCACACUCUCUGAUCCUUUGGGAUUCGGGGAGCGGUGGACUUGGGUGUUUGCUGCUUUCCUUGUGGCUCACCUCAAAUGCGUCAGUGCACCUCUUGGUUGGACAUAGUACGGCGUGAUAAGUGUCUUCGCCGGCACCUCGCAAGAGGGUGGUCAAUUGGGAGCUCUGUGCUUCCAACCGUCUUCGGACAAUAUUUGAUA
Molecule: unclassified non-coding RNA, 205 nt
Filed under: uncultured Sebacinaceae
Lineage: Eukaryota; Fungi; Basidiomycota; Agaricomycetes; Sebacinales; Sebacinaceae
Description: sequence contains ITS2
Source: RNAcentral